This 248-nucleotide ribosomal RNA is filed under the name uncultured bacterium. RNAcentral describes it as "partial 16S ribosomal RNA". It matches the Rfam family "Bacterial small subunit ribosomal RNA", at positions 524 to 771 of the family's 1533-position model. The record is from RNAcentral.
UACGAAGGGGGCUAGCGUUGUUCGGAGUUACUGGGCGUAAAGGGCGCGUAGGCGGCGCACCAAGUCAGGCGUGAAAGCCCUGGGCUCAACCCGGGAAUUGCGCUUGAGACUGGUGUGCUUGAGUACGGGAGAGGAUAGUGGAAUUCCCAGUGUAGAGGUGAAAUUCGUAGAUAUUGGGAAGAACACCGGUGGCGAAGGCGGCUAUCUGGACCGUAACUGACGCUGAGACGCGAAAGCGUGGGGAGCGA